RNAcentral lists this ribosomal RNA (641 nucleotides) under Cellulomonas sp. I13A-01689. Its description in RNAcentral is "bacterial SSU rRNA". It matches the Rfam family "Bacterial small subunit ribosomal RNA", at positions 92 to 746 of the family's 1533-position model. Lineage: Bacteria; Bacillati; Actinomycetota; Actinomycetes; Micrococcales; Cellulomonadaceae. The record is from RNAcentral.
UCAGUGGCGAACGGGUGAGUAACACGUGAGCAACCUACCCUUCACUCUGGGAUAAGCCCUGGAAACGGGGUCUAAUACCGGAUAUGAGACGUACAGGCAUCUGUAGCGUCUGGAAAGAUUUAUCGGUGGGGGAUGGGCUCGCGGCCUAUCAGCUUGUUGGUGGGGUAGUGGCCUACCAAGGCGACGACGGGUAGCCGGCCUGAGAGGGCGACCGGCCACACUGGGACUGAGACACGGCCCAGACUCCUACGGGAGGCAGCAGUGGGGAAUAUUGCACAAUGGGCGCAAGCCUGAUGCAGCGACGCCGCGUGAGGGAUGACGGCCUUCGGGUUGUAAACCUCUUUCAGCAGGGAAGAAGCGCAAGUGACGGUACCUGCAGAAGAAGCGCCGGCUAACUACGUGCCAGCAGCCGCGGUAAUACGUAGGGCGCAAGCGUUGUCCGGAAUUAUUGGGCGUAAAGAGCUCGUAGGCGGUUUGUCGCGUCUGCUGUGAAAACCUAAGGCUCAACCUUGGGCUUGCAGUGGGUACGGGCAGACUAGAGUGCGGUAGGGGUGACUGGAAUUCCUGGUGUAGCGGUGGAAUGCGCAGAUAUCAGGAGGAACACCGAUGGCGAAGGCAGGUCACUGGGCCGCAACUGACGC